CCCUAUUAAUAACUUACUUCCAGGGUUGGAAAAUACGAACACCAGUUUAAACACCAAAGAAUUUGGCGGUGUCUUAUUCAAUUAGGGGAUCUUGUCCUAUAACUCGAUAAUCCAUGAAUGCCUUAUCUAUUUUUGAAACUCAGUUAUGCACUGCCGUCUAAAGUAUACCUUUAUGAGAGUAUACCAUCAAUUAUAACUAAUCUAACGUCAGGUCAAAGUGCAGCUAAUAAAUAGAAAGAGAUGGGUUACAAUCUUUAUAUAGAUACGAAUUAAGGAAUUACAUUUUCUUAUGAAGGUGGACUUAACAGUAAUUAGACUCCUAAAAUGAACUUAAAAUUAAAACAAGU
Molecule: ribosomal RNA, 347 nt
Filed under: Helobdella elongata
Lineage: Eukaryota; Metazoa; Annelida; Clitellata; Rhynchobdellida; Glossiphoniidae
Description: partial 12S ribosomal RNA
Source: RNAcentral